RNAcentral lists this ribosomal RNA (933 nucleotides) under Triticum aestivum (bread wheat). RNAcentral's name for it is "partial small subunit ribosomal RNA". Lineage: Eukaryota; Viridiplantae; Streptophyta; Magnoliopsida; Poales; Poaceae. The record is from RNAcentral.
AUGCCCAUCGCCCCUUCCGAUGAGUUCCGCCGCCCCUUCUGGGUCCUCCUCCACAUCCAUGCCCACGCCCGCCGUAGUCGCAAGAGCGCCGCCGCCGUGGGCCGGGGGAGGAACAAUGAGAUACUACUUGCUUCCCUCCUCCCCAAUCACCCGCCGACCCCCUCCAAUCUGUACCUGUACCGCAAAAAUGGGCCUUUCGGAGAUACGCCCUGCGUGCUCUCCAUGGUGGACAACCUCAUCCUCUUCCACGCAUACACCGGGCCCGAGCUCCGCUUCCCCCCGACACGGCUGUGCGACUUCUUCGUCUACCGGGCCGACCCCAACGAGCCGUCUCUCAAGCUACUGCCGCACCCUCCAUGUUCCGUCGACAGGGAUGAUCCGUUCGGCAUCUUCCCCCGAGGGGACAAGCACUACACCAUCGCAUCGCUGGUACCGAGCAUAUCCUCUGCCUACGAUCACGUACUCCACCUGUUCGACUCCGAGACCCAGAUUUGGAGCAGAAAAGAUCUGAUUGUUGAGUCGGCACAGGCGAGCUUUCCGGUUGAUACCCCCGUCAGCACCAAGCGGAUCUUAUCCCAACACCAUACAUCCACCGUGAUCACUCUUGCAGGCGCCAUUUCGUGGGUUGACCUCUGGCGCGGCAUAGUUUUCUGCGACAUGCUCUCGGAGAAUCAUGCACUCAGCGGUGUCCCACUGCCACUGCCACAGAUCACAGGACCUGCAAGGCAUUACCGUGGUAUCGCUUUGCUUGGUGGAUGCAUCAGGCUCGUUGAGGUGGAUUCUGAAAUCGUUGAUCUCCCGGACACUUGUGAUGAAGAAACCGGGUGGGCUAUUGGCCGAACAGAGAACUGGACGAUUACCACUUGGAUCAACAAGAGUGACAAGGACGAGCGUAAUUCUUAUGCUGCUUGGAACAAGGUGACCACGCUUUGA